Homo sapiens (human) is the source of this 784-nucleotide long non-coding RNA. Ensembl annotates it as LACTB2 antisense RNA 1. Its record names the gene LACTB2-AS1. NCBI's taxonomy places the organism in Eukaryota, Metazoa, Chordata, Mammalia, Primates, Hominidae. The record is from Ensembl.
GUCACUUCUACAAGUGACUAACACCGUCAGGAUAAUCUAAAACUACGAAUACUACCUGACUCCACAAGGGUACGGUGUAUUCUCCAGUUUUAGCAUCUGCCUUAAAAAUUACCUCAGAGUUAAGCACUGCUGGGGACUUAUUUCUACUCUUGUUUUCCUUCUAACAGGUCCCUCAGCUGUAGGUCUGUUGGAGUUUGCUGGAGGUCCACUCCAGAUGCUGUUUGCCUGGGUAUCAGCAGUGGAGGCUGCAGAACAGCAAAUAUUGCAGAACAGUAAAUAUUGCUGCCUGAUCCUUCCCUCUGGAAGCUUCGUCCCAGAAGGCCACCUGCCUAUAUGAGUUCUAGAUCCCUGAGGAAUCGCCACACUGACUUCCACAAUGGUUGAACUAGUUUACAGUCCCAGCAACAGUGUAAAAGUGUUCCUAUUUCUCCACAUCCUCUCCAGCACCUGUUGUUUCCUGACUUUUUAAUGAUCGCCAUUCUAACUGGUGUGAGAUGGUAUCUCAUUGUGGUUAAGAGCUUCUGCACAGCAAAAGAAACUACCAUCAGAGUGAACAGGCAACCUACAGAAUGGGAGAAAAUUUUUGCAAUCUACUCAUCUGACAAAGGGCUAAUAUCCAGAAUCUACAAUGAACUCCAACAAAUUUACAAGAAAAAAACAACCCCAUCAAAAGUGGGCAAAGGAUAUGAACAGACACUCUCAAAAGAAGACAUUUAUGCAGCCAAAAGACACAAGAAAAAAUGCUCAUCAUCACUGGCCAUCAGAGAAACGCAAAUCAGAAAAA